GGCUGGCCAACUUCGUCCGCCGGACUCGGUAUCCAUUGAGACUUUGUGAGGGGCCUCCGUGUACCAAAAAUAGGCCGCGGGCAAAGCCACGCCCAAAAAUAACCGCCUGAAGUCCGGGGCGCCAAGUUCGUCCUGCGGAAAAAGGCCACAAAAACGGGUGGGCUAUAGCCUUGGGGGGUGGGGCUGGCCAACUUCGUCCGCCGGACUCGGAAUGGUGCGAGACUUUGCGAGGGGCCUCCCUGUGCCAUAAAUAUGCCGUGCGCAAAACCGCGCCCAAAAAUAACCGCCCGAAAGCCGGGGCGCCAACUUCGUCCAGCGGAAAAAAGCCACAAAAACGGGUGGGCUAUAGCCUUGGGGGGUGGGGCUGGCCAACUUCGUCCGCCGAACUCGGAAUGGCGCGAGACAUUGCGAGGCGCCUCCGUGUGCCAAAAAUAGGCCGCGGGUACAGCCGCGCCUAAACAUAACCGCCCGAAGGCCGGGGCGCCAAGUUCGUCCAGCGGACAAAGGCCACAAAAACGGGUGGGCUAUAGCCUUGGGGGGUAGGGCUGGCCGACUUCGUCCGCCGAACUUGGAAUGGCGCGAGACUUUGCGACGCACCUCCGUGUGCCAAAAAUAGGCCACGGGCACAGCCGUGCCUAAACAUAACCGCCCGAAGGCCGGGGCGCCAAGUUCGUCCAGCGGAAAAAGGCCACAAAAACGGGUGGGCUAUAGCCUUGGGGGGUGGGCUAUAGCCUUGGUGGGCGGGGUUGGCCAACUUCGUCCGCCGGACUUGGAAUGGUGCGAGACUUUGCGAGGCACCUCCGUGUGCCUAAAAUAGGCCACGGGCACAGCCGCGCCCAAACAUAACCGCCCGAAGAUCAGGGCGCCAAGUUCGUGCAGCGGAAAAAGGCCACAAAAACGGGUGGGCUAUAGCCUUGGGGGGUGGGGCUGGCCAACUUCGUCCGCCGGACUCGGAAUGGUGCGAGACUUUGCGAGGCACCUCCGUGUGCCAAAAAUAGGCCGCGGGCACAGCCGCACCCAAAAAUAACCGCCCGAAGGCCGGGGCGCCAAGUUCGUCCAGCGCAAAAAGGCCACAAAAACGGGUGGGCUAUAGCCUUGGGGGGUGGGGCUGGCCAACUUCGUCCGCCGGACUCGGAAUGGCGUGAGACUUUGCGAGCAGCCUCCGUGUGCAAAAAAAAAACCGCGGGCACAAAAACUGCCCGAAGGCCGGGGCGCCAAGUUCGUCCAGCGGAAAAAGGCCACAAAAACGGGUGGGCUAUAGCCUUUUGGGGGGUGGGGCUGGCCAACUUCGUCCGCCGGACUCGGAAUGCCGCGAGACUUUGCGAGGGUCUCCGUGUGCCAAAAAUAGCCCGCGAGUAAAGCCGCGCCCAAAAAUAACUGCCCGAAGGCCGGGGCGCCAAGUUCAUCCAGCGGAAAAAGGCCACAAAAACAGUUGGGCUAUAGCCUUGGGGGGUGGGGCUGGCCAACUUCGUCCGCCGGACUCGGAAUGGUGCGAGACUUUGCGAGGGGCCUCCCUGUGCCAAAAAUAUGCCGCGCGCAAAACCGCGCCCAAAAAUAACCGCCCGAAGGCCGGGGCGCCAACUUCGUCCAGCGGAAAGAGGCCACAAAAACGGGUGGGCUAUUGCCUUGGGGGGUGGGGCUGGCCAAAUUCGUCCGCCGGACUCGGAAUCCAUNNNNNNNNNNNNNNNNNNNNNNNNNNNNNNNNNNNNNNNNNNNNNNNNNNNNNNNNNNNNNNNNNNNNNNNNNNNNNNNNNNNNNNNNNNNNNNNNNNNNNNNNNNNNNNNNNNNNNNNNNNNNNNNNNNNNNNNNNNNNNNNNNNNNNNNNNNNNNNNNNNNNNNNNNNNNNNNNNNNNNNNNNNNNNNNNNNNNNNNNNNNNNNNNNNNNNNNNNNNNNNNNNNNNAAACCGCGCCCAAAAAUAACCGCCCGAAAGCCGGGGCGCCAACUUCGUCCAGCGGAAAAAAGCCACAAAAACGGGUGGGCUAUAGCCUUGGGGGGUGGGGCUGGCCAACUUCGUCCGCCGAACUCGGAAUGGCGCGAGACAUUGCGAGGGGCCUCCGUGUGCCAAAAAUAGGCCGCGGGUACAGCCGCGCCUAAACAUAACCGCCCGAAGGCCGGGGCGCCAAGUUCGUCCAGCGGAAAAAGGCCACAAAAACGGGUGGGCUAUAGCCUUGGGGGGUAGGGCUGGCCGACUUCGUCCGCCGAACUUGGAAUGGCGCGAGACUUUGCGACGCACCUCCGUGUGCCAAAAAUAGGCCACGGGCACAGCCGUGCCUAAACAUAACCGCCCGAAGGCCGGGGCGCCAAGUUCGUCCAGCGGAAAAAGGCCACAAAAACGGGUGGGCUAUAGCCUUGGGGGGUGGGCUAUAGCCUUGGUGGGCGGGGUUGGCCAACUUCGUCCACCGGACUUGGAAUGGUGCGAGACUUUGCGAGGCACCUCCGUGUGCCUAAAAUAGGCCACGGGCACAGCCGCGCCCAAACAUAACCGCCCGAAGAUCAGGGCGCCAAGUUCGUGCAGCGGAAAAAGGCCACAAAAACGGGUGGGCUAUAGCCUUGGGGGGUGGGGCUGGCCAACUUCGUCCGCCGGACUCGGAAUGGUGCGAGACUUUGCGAGGGGCCUCCCUGUGCCAUAAAUAUGCCGUGCGCAAAACCUCGCCCAAAAAUAACCGCCCGAAAGCCGGGGCGCCAACUUCGUCCAGCGGAAAAAAGCCACAAAAACGGGUGGGCUAUAGCCUUGGGGGGUGGGGCUGGCCAACUUCGUUCGCCGGACUCGGAAUGCCUCGAGACUUUGCGAGGGGCCUCCCUGUGCCAAAAAUAGGCCGUGCGCAAAGCUGUGCCCAUAAAUAACCGCCCGAAGGCCGGGCCGCCAGGAUCGUCCAGCGGAAAAAGGCCACAAAAACGGGUGGGCUAUAGCCUUGGGGGGUGGGGCUGGCCAACUUCGUCCGCCGGACUCGGAAUGCCGAGAGACUUUGCGAGGGGCCUCCAUGUGCCAAAAAUAUGGCGCGGGCAAAGCCGCGCCCAAAAAUAACCGCCUGAAGGCCGGGGUGCCAAGUUCGUCCGGCGGAAAAAGGCCACAAAAACGGGUGGGCUAUAGCCUUGGGGGGUGGGGCUGGCCAACUUCGUCCGCCGGACUUGGAAUGGCUCGAGACUUUGCGAGGGGCCUCCGUGUGCCAAAAAUAGGCCACGGCCCAAGUCGCGCCCAAAAAUAACCGCCCGAAGGCCGGGGCGCCCAGUUCGUCCAGCAGAAAAAGGCCACAAAAAUGGGUGGGCUAUAGCCUUGGGGGGUGGGGCUGGCCAACUUCGUCCGCCGGACUCGGAAUGGCGCGAGACUUUGCAAGGCUCCUCCGUGUACCAAAAAUAGGCCAUGGGCACAGCCACGCCCAAAAAUAACCGCCGAAGGCCGGGGCGCCAAGAUCGUCCAGCAGAAAAAGGCUACAAAAACGGGUGGGCUAUAGCCUUGGGGGGUGGGGCUGGCCCACUUCGUCCGCCGGACUCGGAAUGGUGCGAGACUUUGCGAGGCACCUCCGUGUGCCAAAAAUAGGCUGCGGGGACAGCCGCGUCCAAAAAUAACAGCCCGAUGGCCGUGGCGCCAAGUUCGUCCAGCGGAAAAAGGCCACAAAAACGUGUGGUCUAUAGCCUUGGGGGGUGGGGCUGGCCAACUUCGUCCGCCGGGCUCGGAAUUGCGCGAGACUUUGUGAGGCGCCACCGUGUGCCAAAAAUAGGCUGCGGGCGCAGCCGCGACCAAAAAUAACUGCCCAAAAGCCGGGGGGCCAAGUUCGUCCAGCGCAAAAAGGCCACAAAAACGUGUGGGCUAUAGCCUUCGGGGGUGGGGCUUGCCAACUUCAUCCGCCGGACUCGGAAUGGCGCGAGACUAUGCGAGGCACCUCCGUGUGCCAAAAAUAGGCCACGGACACAGCCGUGCCCAAAAAUAACUGCCCGAAGGCCGGGGCGCCAAGUUCGUCCAGCGGAAAAACGCCACCAAAACGGGUGGGCUAUAGCCUUGGGGGGUGGGGCUGGCCAACUUAGUCCGCCGGACUCGGAAUGGUGCGAGACUUUCCGAGGCACCUCCGUGUGCCAAAAAUAGGCCACGGGCACAGCCGCUUCCAAAAAUAACCGCCUGAAGGCUGGGGCGCAAAGUCCGUCCCGCGGAAAAACGCCCCAAAAACGGGUGGGCUAUAGCCUUGGGGGGUGGGGCCGGCCAACAUGGUACGCCAGACUCGGAAUGGUGCGAGACUUUGCGAGGCUCCUCCGUGUGCCAAAAAUAGGCCACGGGCACAGCCGCGCCCAAAAAUAACCGCCCGAAGGCUUGGGCGCCAAGUUCGUCCAGCGGAAAAAGGCCACAAAAACGGGUGGGCUCUAGCCUUGGGGGGUGGGGCUGGCCAACUACGUCCACCGGACUCGGAAUGGCGGGAGACUUUGCGAGGCGCCUCCGUAUGCCAAAAAUAGGCAGCGGGCACAGCCGCGCCCAAACAUAACCACCUGAAGGCCGGGGUGCCAAGUUCGUCCAACGGAAAAAGGCCACAAAAACGGGUGGGCUCUAGCCUUGGGGGGUGGGGCUUGCCAACUUCGUCCGCCGAACUCGGAAUGGCGCGAGACAUUGCGAGGCCGCACCGUGUGCCAAAAAUAUGCAGCGGGCACAGCCGCGCCUAAACAUAACCGCCCGAAGGCCGGGGAGCCAAGUUCGUCCAGCGGAAAAAGGCCACAAAAACGGGUGGGCUAUAGCCUUGGGGGGUGGGGCUGGCCAACUUCGUCCGCCGAACUUGGAAUGGCGCGACACUUUGCGAGGCACCUCCGUGUGCCAAAAAUAGGCCGCGGGCACAGCCGCGCCUAAACAUAACCGCCCGAAGGCCGGGGCGCCUAUUUCGUCCAGCGGAAAAACGCCACAAAAACGGGUGGGCUAUAGCCUUGGGGGGUGGGCUAUAGCCUUGGUGGGCGGGACUGGCCAACUUCGUCCGCCGGACUCGGAAUGGCACGAGACUUUGCGAGGCGCCUCCGUGUGCCAAAAAUAGGCCAUGGGCACAGCCGCGCCCAAACAUAACCGCCCGAAGGCCGGGGCGCCAAGUUCGUCCAGCGGAAAAAGGCCACAAAAACGGGUGGGCUAUAGCCUUGGUGGGUGGGGCUGGCCAACUUCGUCCGCCGGACUCGGAAUUCCGCGAGACUUUGCGAGGCGCCUCCGUGUGCCAAAAAUAGGCCGCGGACACAGCCGCGUCCAAAAAUAACUGCCCGAAGGCCGGGGCGCCAAGUUCGUCCAGCGGAAAAAGGACACAAAAACGGGUGGGCUAUAGCCUUGGGGGGUGGGGCUGGCCAACUUCGUCCGCCGGACUCGGAAUGCCACAAGACUUUGCGAGGGGCCUCCGUGUGCCAAAAACAGGCCGCGGGCAAAACCGUGCCCAAAAAUAACCGCCCGAAGGCUGGGGCGCCACGUUCGUCCGGCGGAAAAAGGCCACAAAAACGGGUGGGCUAUAGCCUUGGGGGGUGGGGCUGGCCACCUUCGUCCGCCGGACUCGGAAUGCAUCGAGACUUUAUGAGGGGCCUCCGUGUUCCAAAAAUAGGCCGCGGGCAAAGCCACGCCCAAAAAUAACCGCCCGAAGGUCGGGGCGCCAAGUUCGUCCCGCGGAAAGAGGCCACAAAAACGGGUGGGCUAUAGCCUUAGGGGGUGGGGCUAGCCAACUUCGUCCGCCGGACUCGGAAUGCAUCGAGACUUUGAGAGGGGCCUCCCUGUGCCAAAAAUAGGCCGCGCGCAAAACCGCGCCCAAAAAUAACCGCCCGAAGGCCGGGGCGCCAAGUUCGUCCAGCUGAAAAAGGCCACAAAAACGGGUGGGCUAUAGCCUUGGGGGGUGGGGUUGGCCAACUUCGUCCGCCGGACUCGGAAUGCCGCAAGACUUUGCGAGGGGCCUCCGUGUGCCAAAAAUAGGCUGCGGGUAAAGCCGCGCCCAAAAAUAACUGCCCGAAGGCCGGGGCGCCAAGUUCGUCCAGCUGAAAAAGGCCACAAAAACGGGUGGGCUAUAGCCUUGGGGGGUGGGGCUCGCCAACUUCGUCCGCCGGACUCGGAAUGCAUCGAGACUUUGAGAGGGGCCUCCCUGUGCCAAAAAUAGGCCGCGAGCAAAGCCGCGCCCAAAAAUAACCGCCGGAAGGCCGGGGCGCCAAGUUCGUCCAGCGGAAAAAGGCCACAAAAACGGGUGGGCUAUAGCCUUGGGGGGUGGGGUUGGCCAACUUCGUCCGCCGGACUCGGAAUGCCGCAAGACUUUGCGAGGGGCCUCCGUGUGCCAAAAAUAGGCCGCGGGUAAAGCCGCACCCAAAAAUAACAGCCCGAAGGCCUGGGUGCCAAGUUCGUCCAACUGAAAAAGGCCACAAAAACGGGUGGGCUAUAGCCUUGGGGGGUGGGGCUGGCCAACUUCGUCCGCCGGACUCGGAAUGGCGCGAGACAUUGCGAGGGGCCUCCCUGUGCCAAAAAUAGGCCGCACGCAAAACCGCGCCCAAAAAUAACCGCCUGAAGGCCGGGGCGCCAAGUUCGUCCAGCGGAAAGAGGCCACAAAAACAGGUGGGCUAUAGCCUUGGGGGGUGGGGAUGGCCAACUUCGUCCGCCGGACUCGGAAUGCCGCGAGACUUUGCGAGGGGCCUCCAUAUGCCAAAAAUAGGCCGCGACCAAAGCCGCACCCAAAAAUAACCGUCCGAAGGCCGGGGCGCCAAGUUCGUCCGCCGGACUUGGAAUGGCGCGAGACUUUGCGAGGGUCCUCCGUGUGCCAAAAACAGGCCGCGGGCAAAGCUGCGCCCAAAAAUAACCACCCGAAGGCCGGGGCGCCAAGUUCGUCCAGCGGAAAGAGGCCACAAAAACGGGUGGGCUAUAGCCUUGGGGGGUGGGGCUGGCCAACUUCGUCCGCCGGACUCGGAAUGGCGCGAGACUUUGCGAGGGGCCUCCCUGUGCCAAAAAUAGGCCGCGCACAAAACCGCGCCCAAAAAUAACUGCCCGAAGGCCGGGGCGCCAAGUUCGUCCAGCGGAAAGAGGCCACAAAAACGGGUGGGCUAUAGCCUUGGGGGGUGGGGAUGGCCAACUUCGUCCGGCGGACUCGGAAUGCCGCGAGACUUUGCGAGGGGCCUCCGUGUGCGAAAAAUAGGCCGCAGGCAAAGAUGCACCCAAAAAUAACCGCCCGAAGGCCGGGGCGCCAAGUUCGUCCUGCGGAAAAAGCCCACAAAAACGGGUGGGCUAUAGCCUUGGGGGGUGGGGCUGGCCAACUUCGUUCGCCGGACUCGGAAUGGCGCGAGACUUUGCGAGCGGCCUCCAUGUGCCAAACAUAUGCCGCGGGCACAGCCGUACCCAAAAAUAACCGCCCGAAGGCCGGGGCGCCAAGUUCGUCCAGCGCAAAAAGGCCACAAAAACGGGUGGGCUAUAGCCUUGGGGGGUGGGGCUGGCCAACUUCGUCCGCCGGACUCGGAAUGGUGUGAGACUUUGCGAGCAGCCUCCGUUUGCAAAAAAAAAACCGCGGGCACAAAAACUGCCCGAAGGCCGGGGCGCCAAGUUCGUCCAGCGGAAAAAGGCCACAAAAACGGGUGGGCUAUAGCCUUGGGGGGUGGGGCUGGCCAACUUCGUCCGCCUGACUCGGAAUGCCGGGAGACUUUGCGAGGGUCCUCCAUGUUCCAAAAAUAGCCCGCGGGUAAAGCCGCGCCCAAAAAUAACUGCCCGAAGGCCAGGGCGCCAAGUUCGUCCAGCGGAAAAAGGCCACAAAAACGGUUGGGCUAUAGCCUUGGGGGGUGGGGCUGGCCAACUUCGUCCGCCGGACUCGGAAUGCCGCGAGACUUUGCGAGGGGCCUCCGUGUGCAAAAAAUAGGCCGCGGACAAAACCGUGCCCAAAAAUAACUGCCCGAAGGCCGGGGCGCCAAGUUCGUCCAGCGGAAAAACGCCACAAAAACGGGUGGGCUAUAGCCUUGGGGGGUGGGGCUGGCCAACUUCGUCCGCCGGACUCGGAAUGCCGCGAGACUUUGCGAGGGGCCUCCAUGUGCCAAAAAUAGGCCGCAGGUAAAACCGCGCCCAAAAAAUAACCGCCCGAAGGCCGGGGCGCCAAGUUCGUCCGGCGGAAAAAGGCCACAAAAACGGGUGGCUAUAGCCUUGGGGGGUCGGGCUGGCCAACUUCGUCCGCCGGACUCGGAAUGCAUCGAGACUUUGUGAGGGGCCUCCGUGUGCCAAAAAUAGGCCGCGGGCAAAGCCACGCCCAAAAAUAACUGCCCGAAGGCCGGGGCGCCAAGUUCGUCCUGCGGAAAAAGGCCACAAAAACGGGUGGGCUAUAGCCUUGGGGGUUGGCGCUGGCCAACUUCGUCCGCCGGACUCGGAAUGCCACGAGACUUUGCGAGGGGCCUCCGUGUGCCAAAAAUAGGCCGCGGGCAAAGCCGCGCCCAAAAAUAACCGCCCGAAGGCCGGGGCGCCAAGUUCGUCCAGCGGAAAGAGGCCACCAAAACGGGUGGGCUAUAGCCUUGGGGGGUGGGGCUGGCCAAC
Molecule: long non-coding RNA, 8486 nt
Filed under: Citrus x clementina
Lineage: Eukaryota; Viridiplantae; Streptophyta; Magnoliopsida; Sapindales; Rutaceae
Description: Citrus clementina (C. clementina) long non-coding RNA (CCLE_LNC004921)
Source: RNAcentral